This is a non-coding RNA of Sus scrofa (pig), 1711 nucleotides long. Lineage: Eukaryota; Metazoa; Chordata; Mammalia; Artiodactyla; Suidae. The record is from RefSeq and is a predicted model, not a curated record.
UGAGGGGAUUCAUGAUGGAGAAAAACAGAUUACUGGCCCCAAGACAAUUAAUAUCAAAGGAAUGAUGUCAAAAGCCCAGACUCUUCUUGCAUCUUCCCAUACACAGAAAAGUGCUAAAUUCAUUAACUUGAGAUGUCCAUUUCUUUAAUUAGCAGUAAUCUGUUGUGUUCACUACCUGUUUUUUUGUUUGUUUGUUUGUUUUUUUGUUUUUUGUUUGCUUGUAAAAGCUCAUUUAUAUCCUGGUUCCCCCUUACCUCCUAGAACAAUUCCUCAGAGCUGCCAUCCCAAGCUAUGGAACUCAGUAAGGGCUCUGAAUAAAAUAUAAUCCUCAACUUCUAGGUUGUGCAAUGCUUUUUCAGUUGAUAGUUUUGGCAACCAAUGAAGGGACCCAGAAUAGGCUGUUUUCCUUCACCUAAACUCUACAAGGAACUGGAAAUUUGAUACCUCAUGUGCCUAUCCAGCUCCUGGACAGCCCAGAUGAAUUUAGGUGAGUCUCUUCUGGUUCUUGAAUCUCCCAAUUAUUUGUUGACCCUGAAUUGUAUUUUGGUCAUGUCUAACAGGUACCUGACCCCCCAGUUAAAAGAUACUGGGGUGUGUCCCCAAGUUGAAAAGUAUUGAGGGAGCCCAGUUGAAAGUCAUUGAUUGUUGCUCAGUUGAGAGACGCUGAGUGGUCUGGACUGGCUAUUUAAAUGAGAGGUUGGUGUUGAUAAAAAUUCAAUUAACUAUCAGGUUAAGAAAAGAAAGGGAAUUUUAUUUCAGCUAAACUGAGAAUUGUAACCCUGGAAGCAGAUUCUCAGAAAUCUCUGACUACUGUUUCACCUAUUAGAAGUUGAAGACAUAGUCAUAUACAUUUUUUAGACAAGAGAUCAUAUAUCAAAAUGAUAUAUUUUACAUACAGGUCACCAAGGAUACAUAGUCCAGGUCAGCACAUACAAAGCAAGCAACAAAUAACCAUGACCCACUACAGAGCUGGGAAAGAACACUAUUCUUUAAAAAGUUACAGUACUAGCAUCAGAAAAAAGAAAAAAAAACUGAUCUUUAUGGUUGAGCAGGCAUUCCCAUCUUUGAGAAGCUCUGGUUAAUAUGUGAUGCCGAUGCACACACCACAUGGUGGGGGGGGAGGGAGAAGGCCAAAACAAACACAGAGAAAUUUUUUUCUCAUUUGCCUUAAAAUAUAAAUUUUAUUCAUCACUGGCCUAACAUCUUUCCUGAAUCAAAGCCAUUCUCCAAUUAACACCAUAGCUAGGUUUAUAUAAAUACAACACUUAUAUUUAAAAAAAAUUUCUUGGAGUUCCCGUUGUGGCUCAGCAGGUUAAGAACCUGAUAUAAUGUCUAUGAGGAUGCAUGUUUGAUCCCUGGACUAGCUCAUGUUGCCAAAAUUUGGCCUCUGUCCACCGGUGUUGAACAGAAACACAGAGACAGAGUUUUAGGGUGAGGAGAAAAAAAAAUAGCUUUAGUGCUUUGCCAGGUGAAGGAGGCCACAGCAGGCUAAUGCUCUGAAGACUGUGCCCUACCUUGGGAGAAAUUAAGCAGUGUUUUUAUAGUUUAGGAGUGAAAAAUAGGGCCACAGAUAAUGAUCAGGGUAGAUGUAAGCUUUCAUUAUUCUUCAAAGUUGGUGUUUAGUGGCCCCAGGACUGGCUCUAGUGGUUCUCCUCUCUAGUUUUCACUUGUUGGGGGUUUUAGUUCUUCAGAACUAAAAAAUAUUGUUAUG